This 497-nucleotide ribosomal RNA is filed under the name uncultured bacterium. Its description in RNAcentral is "partial 16S ribosomal RNA". It matches the Rfam family "Bacterial small subunit ribosomal RNA", at positions 28 to 507 of the family's 1533-position model. The record is from RNAcentral.
GAUGAACGCUGGCGGCGUGCCUAAUACAUGCAAGUCGAGCGAACAGACGAGGAGCUUGCUCCUCUGGCGUUAGCGGCGGACGGGUGAGUAACACGUGGAUAACCUACCUAUAAGACUGGGAUAACUUCGGGAAACCGGAGCUAAUACCGGAUAAUAUAUUGAACCGCAUGGUUCAAUAGUGAAAGACGGUUUUGCUGUCACUUAUAGAUGGAUCCGCGCCGCAUUAGCUAGUUGGUAAGGUAACGGCUUACCAAGGCGACGAUGCGUAGCCGACCUGAGAGGGUGAUCGGCCACACUGGAACUGAGACACGGUACAGACUCCUACGGGAGGCAGCAGUAGGGAAUCUUCCGAAAUGGGCGAAAGCCUGACGGAGCAACGCCGCGUGAGUGAUGAAGGUCUUCGGAUCGUAAAACUCUGUUAUUAGGGAAGAACAAAUGUGUAAGUAACUAUGCACGUCUUGACGGUACCUAAUCAGAAAGCCACGGCUAACUACGUG